CGCUGGGAAGCUAAGUAUUGGAUAAGCGUUGGCCUUUUGAGCCAAAAUAUUGGUGAUUCCCGACCACCCCCAGUGA
This 76-nucleotide transfer RNA is filed under the name Chagunius chagunio. RNAcentral describes it as "tRNA-Lys". Lineage: Eukaryota; Metazoa; Chordata; Actinopteri; Cypriniformes; Cyprinidae. The record is from RNAcentral.